RNAcentral lists this ribosomal RNA (328 nucleotides) under uncultured eukaryote. RNAcentral describes it as "partial 18S ribosomal RNA". It matches the Rfam family "Eukaryotic small subunit ribosomal RNA", at positions 1470 to 1796 of the family's 1831-position model. The record is from RNAcentral.
CCCUUAGAUGUUCUGGGCCGCACGCGCGCUACACUGAUGAAUGCAACGAGCUCUACCCUUGACCGAAAGGCCCGGGUAAACUUGUGAAACUUCAUCGUGAUGGGGAUAGAUUAUUGCAAUUAUUAAUCUUCAACGAGGAAUUCCUAGUAAGCGCGAGUCAUCAGCUCGCGUUGAUUACGUCCCUGCCCUUUGUACACACCGCCCGUCGCUACUACCGAUUGAACGUUUUAGUGAGGUAUUUGGACUGGGCCUUGGGAGGUUUCGGCCUCCCUUGUUGCUCGGAAAGACUCCCAAACUUGAGCGUUUAGAGGAAGUAAAAGUCGUAACA